UGGGCAAGAAGCACCCUGUAGGGUCCUGGC
This 30-nucleotide non-coding RNA is filed under the name Homo sapiens (human). Lineage: Eukaryota; Metazoa; Chordata; Mammalia; Primates; Hominidae. The record is from RNAcentral.